GAUAUUGCGCACUGGUGGGAACUCUGACGCAGAGACGCUGCGUGUGCGAUGAUGGUCUUCGGAUCGUAAAGCUCUGUCUUUUUGGAUGAUGGUCCUCGCUCUUGACGGUACCUAAGGAGGAAGCAUCGGCUACCUACGUGCCUGCAGCCGCGGUAAUACGUAGGGGGCAAGCGUUGUUCGGAAUUAGUGGGCGUAAAGGGUGCGUAGGCGGCCUGUUAAGUCAGAGGGGAAAGCCCACGGCUUAAACGUGGAACUGCAUUUGAAACUGGAGGGCUUGAGUAUCGGAGAGGGUAGUGGAAUUCCCAGUGUAACGGUGGAAUGCGUAGAUAUUGGGAGGAACACCAGUGGCGAAGGCGACUACCUGGACGAAAACUGACGCUGAGGCACGAAAGCUAGGGGAGCAAAC
RNAcentral lists this ribosomal RNA (406 nucleotides) under uncultured bacterium. RNAcentral describes it as "partial 16S ribosomal RNA". It matches the Rfam family "Bacterial small subunit ribosomal RNA", at positions 359 to 773 of the family's 1533-position model. The record is from RNAcentral.